GUUUCCAUGGCAACUCUGACAUCACCAGGCUCAGCGUCUGCAUGGCCAGGCCCUGAAUGGAGACGCCUGGGAGUUCACGCUGCAGCCCCAGGGAGGAGGGCGGCCUGCUGGAGUGGGCCUUCCCCGGUCCCAGGCCCCAUGCAGAUCCGGGUUCAAAGCCCAGCCCUGCCCCUGACUUGCCAGGUGACUCUGAGGAAAUCAGGGGCCUGAGACUCAGUCUCCUCAUCUAUGAAAUAGAGCUAACAGUAUCUCCUCUGCAGUGAGGGUGAAACGAAAUCGUGGAUGAUAGACAGAUUUCUCAGUAAAGAACCUCCGGCCCCAGCAUGGUAUCGAGUGGCCUCCAUGGAGCAGGGGCCAGCUGCUAGGAUGAGGACGCCAUACUCCCUCCUGGGGGAAUCCUGGGGCCUCCUGCUCCUCUGAGGCUGAAAUCGUGCCAGAGAUGCCCAGAGAGCCAUGUGUGCGGGACCCUGCAUGAGGCUCUUUCAUGCGAGUUACGUCACUGGGCCUUCACGAGACCUGCCGAGGAAGGUAGUACCUUUUCCAGGGCACCAAGAAGGAAAGGGAGUCACAGCUCACACUCCUUGGAGCCAGGGUGACCCAGGCCUGUCUUGUGUGGCACACAGUCUCUGACUAGGGCUCACACAGACAGUCUGGGCUCCCGCCUCCCCAAGAUCUCCAAAAGCUGGCAAGAACUCCCUCUGCCCCCUGAGAUUGUGGCUGGGGGUGGGGGUCCUCCUCCUUCCUUCUUCUCACUAGAGUGUUGACAUCAAGAGAGCAGACGGGGACAGGUGAAACCCUGCUGGAGAAACAGUCCAGCUAACAGUAUACACAGUGGCACCGACGCCCCGGUACUGAGCACACAGAUGUCUCAGGGCCGGGCUGGCCAACCCAGCUGGAAGGGGGAAAUGAAGGGCUGGUAUGAAGCUUUGCUCUCAGAGUGAUUGUCCUUCCCAAGACAAACAUCUGCAGGUCCUUAGACCAGAAUCAUUCUGUCCGGGGGGUCCUUUUCUGGAGGCAGGGCUGGCAUGGCACAAGUCCAGGAGCCACAGACAAGCCUGUGUCCCAGGCUGGCAUCCUGAGACCUGGGACAUCGGUCACAUCAGACCGACCAGCUGGGAUGCUUUGAACAAAGGCCCUAAUCUCGCUGACUCUGUCUCUUUGUCUGUAAACCUAGCCCUGCCUAAGAAGAAGGUUGCUGUGGGGGCGAUGAGAUCCGGGUGCCCAGCUCUGUAAUCAGGCAGGCGCUGAACAAAAGGAGGAGGGAGGCCCCCACCCUCUGACCACACAAUUGAGGAGAUCCAAGGCCAAAAAAAACAUUUGACUCUGUUGGAAGAACCAGAGAUUGUAAGGUGAAGCCCCCGCCCCCGCCCCGGCCUGCUCUGCUCUUAGGCUCAGCCAUAUUUAGCCAGGUCUGAGUCAGGCCAGGAUGGCCAGUGACUCAUAGUGACCUGAGUUUUCUGGGCCUCUGUGGUUCCCCCUGUAAAAUGGGCACAGCGGCUCUUGGUUAAGCAAUCUCCCAAUGACAGGCCUUCGAUGGCUGUGGGACUCUGUUAUUACCAUCACCACUCCUCCUUGCUCUUACUCAUCUGGCUGGGAAAAUGUGUGAAAGAGGGAGAUUCCAGAAAAGAACAAAAAAGAAAGAAAAUAAGCUUCAUUCACAGUCCAGUGCCCAGAGCUAGCUGAGCCUCACAUGGCUCCCUCCUCAGAGCUGGUGGCCCCUUCCCUGUCACUUUUCCACAAAUGACCAAAGACAAGUUACCAUUUAACCAGCCCAUGGGAAUUGGGGCCAAACUCUCCAAAUGGCAAACCAGCAGGACCUGUUUGCUGGGAUGAAAUAACCCCACUGGACCUGGUGCUUGGCUGCCCUCCCACACGUCUCCACCUCCCGACAUGCCCAGCCUGGCAAGGUGACCUUGGCAAGUCUCCUAACCUUUCAUGGGCAGACAAGGGGGGAGGGGCCACUGGGAGGAGCCGAGGCAGGGCUUAGGGGAGAACACGCAGACAGUCAAGAGGUGAGCCAGCAGUGUCCCCCAGACUUGUCUAGACACGUCCAGAGCAAGCCACAGUGCACUGGAGAGGCAGGCUGGGAUGGGAGGGGAGCUUCAGUGAGAACUGAAGGGGAGGGGCCUCCCCAAAGUCUACAGACUGGGGAGUGUGGGAGCCAGGGAGGGGGCAGAGCCCACGGCCAGGUCAGCCAUGGGAGGUCUCCCCUCUUAGGUUCUUCUUGAAGCAGUGUCGGGUUUUAACCCCCCAGGGGCCCCCACCUGUCUGAUACCCGUGGGUGCCAUCAACGCUUAUUGAAUCUCUGCUUGGGUCUAGCCCUUCUCCCCACGAUCCUCAGCCCUCAGCCAGUUCAGCACCUGGAUUCCUGGACUAUCAGGGCCCGG
Long non-coding RNA from Equus caballus (horse), 2387 nucleotides. The record is from Ensembl. NCBI's taxonomy places the organism in Eukaryota, Metazoa, Chordata, Mammalia, Perissodactyla, Equidae.